This 1048-nucleotide long non-coding RNA is filed under the name Callithrix jacchus (white-tufted-ear marmoset). Its description in RNAcentral is "lncRNA (ENSCJAG00000087061.1)". Lineage: Eukaryota; Metazoa; Chordata; Mammalia; Primates; Cebidae. The record is from RNAcentral.
AGCAUUUGUAACUGAAGCACACUUGCCUUUUGCAGCUAAGCUCUACUGAAUUCCAAAGCCAUAGAAAUAUCCAUCUUAACCUGGAAAGUCAGUUUCUUUGCUAGCCCAGAAGAUUGUUUAACAUGAACAGGAUCCUCUCAAGCACUCUUUGCUUCGGACUCCUAACUUUGUUAUCUGUGUUGAUCUUUUUACAAUCUGUGCAUAGACAGCCAUAUCUUACCCAAGGUAUGUGCACAUCAAUUUAAAAUCUUACAGGUUGAAAAUGAUGGUUUUUGAUCAUUACACAAAAUGAAAUAUUUCCAGAUAAAAAAUAUACAAAUUGUGAGGAACUAUUGCUGGCUCUACAGAAUAAAAAUUUUGAUCUUGAAAGACCUUUCAACACUGUUUUAACAGCUGGAAAAGCUAAAAGAAGAGCUAGUGGAGGUGAAGGAUUCUGAGACAUCCUAUGCUGCAGAUGGUCUAUUCUCUCCUCAUCCUAGCAAGCAAGAGUUUACAUGAAGCCUUAUGUAUAUUGACCAUUUUCCUUCACUGCAUGCCUACACUGUGUGGAACACAUGGACUCCAGCGUACCUACAGUAGGAUGGGAGACAGAUGAAGCAGGUAAAUAUGCUUUUAACUGCCAGAGCUAUGCAUAUGGUCCCAAUUUAAGUUAAUAAGGAUGUGGGAUCCUUAGGAAAUAUAGAGACGUCUUAGGAAUAGUUGAAGACUUGUAUUCAUACCACAUAUCUUGGGUUUGUUAUGCCAUGUAUAAUGAAGAUAAAAUGUAUGAAUUUGAAGUUAGAGAAUAGGAAUUUAUAUCUCCAAUCAGCCCAAAUUAGAGUAUACAUUUGACAGUUAUCAGCAUAUACAUAUUGUUUGGUAUUGGGAUGAGUCUGAGAGGGUAGAACCCCUCCCCAUCUCCCUCCUCGCAGGCCCCCACCUCCUCCCUUCCUAUGAGAAGGAAGGUAAAGAAAGAUAAAAUACCAAAGGACUGGAAUCGGUGGUCAUGCGACUUGCUGAUGCCACUGACCAGGCCAUAAUGAGAACCAAGGACUGGGAAGAUAAUUCC